RNAcentral lists this long non-coding RNA (212 nucleotides) under Homo sapiens (human). Its description in RNAcentral is "HSALNT0405180". The record is from RNAcentral. Lineage: Eukaryota; Metazoa; Chordata; Mammalia; Primates; Hominidae.
UCCAGCUUCACAAGGACACCACACUGUUAAGCUGCAACCCAGUGCACUCAGAAUGAAACCUGCUGGGGAUCACAGCCCAGCCUCAUGAGACACAAGAUGGCAGUCUGCAACCUGGAAGAUGCCCUCACAAGAAUCCCACCAUGCUGGCAUCCUGAUCUCAGACUUCCAGCCUCUAGGCCUGUGAGAAAUAAAUUUCUGUUGUUUAUAAGCCA